Molecule: long non-coding RNA, 940 nt
Organism: Anas platyrhynchos (mallard)
Lineage: Eukaryota; Metazoa; Chordata; Aves; Anseriformes; Anatidae
Source: RefSeq, a predicted model, not a curated record
UUGCUUUUUGUUAGAAGGGUUUAUUCCUCUUUCCUUCUUUUCUGUUUUCAGUGCCUUUCUCCUGCUUGCUUUAAUAAUGAUUAUCUACACGCUGAACAAUGACUACUCCUUGCAAUCAGAUAUUUGAGCCCCUUUGUGUUGGAUGAUUGAUAGGGAAUGUUAAGAAGGAAGAAAAAUGGCGUGAGGCCCUCCUCCCCGCCUUGAUGAUGGAGAAGCAGUCACACACACUGGAGCACAAAGGAAUCACCACUGUCACACAGACAACACGAAGGUGCCUGUUCCAGACUCGUGGAGAGGAGCUUCCUCCCACUCACCAGCCAGCAAGGCUCUGAAGAAGCCAGACCCUCUCCCAUGGGAGAAGACAGCUGCACUACGAGGCCCUGCCAUCAGCCCUGUCACUCAGGCUCCGCCAUGCCCACGAACAGAUGCCUGCUCUCAGCCCUAAUGCACUGUGGACCUAAUCAGCUCUUAGAUUAUCAGUAGGUUCUGCCUUUUUAUGAUUAUUUGUUUUCUGUUUUCCCUCAGUUCUCCCUCCUGUGGUUCUUCUACUUCUUUCUUCCUGCCAUUUCAUUUAUCAUGUUCUCCCUCUCUUGCCCUCACAAUUUAUCUCCUUCACUUUCACAGAGGGCUCAGAUAGGUCUGAGUAUUAAUGUCUAGGAUUUAUAAGAGCAAGCCUUCAACUCUUUAUCAAAAAUGCAAAUUACCCAAGACUUUAAAUCCGUGCAAUAAAUUUAACAGUGCAAUGCAAUUUUCAGAGAAUACUUGAAAUUGCUGAAUUGAAUUACAGCACUCAUAUAUGAUGACUCAAUAUUUCUAUAAGGUAUGAACAGUGUGCAGACCUUUGGAAAAGAGACAGCGAGGAAUGGGGAAGAAGGGAAGGAGAAUUAUUUUAUCUAACUUGCUAGAUUUCUGUGACCAAAUACUAUGAAGAUUUUGAUUG